This 253-nucleotide ribosomal RNA is filed under the name uncultured prokaryote. RNAcentral describes it as "partial 16S ribosomal RNA". It matches the Rfam family "Bacterial small subunit ribosomal RNA", at positions 524 to 776 of the family's 1533-position model. The record is from RNAcentral.
UACAGAGGUCUCAAGCGUUGUUCGGAUUCAUUGGGCGUAAAGGGUGCGUAGGUGGCGAUGUAAGUCUGGUGUGAAAUCUCGGAGCUUAACUUCGAAAUUGCAUUGGAUACUGCGUUGCUUGAGGAUUGUAGAGGAGAGUGGAAUUCACGGUGUAGCAGUGAAAUGCGUAGAUAUCGUGAGGAAGACCAGUUGCGAAGGCGACUCUCUGGGCAAUUCCUGACACUGAGGCACGAAGGCCAGGGGAGCAAACGGG